AAGCUGCGAUAAGUAAUGUGAAUUGCAGAACUCAGUGAAUCAUCGAGUCUUCGAACGCAUAUUGCGCCCCCUGGCAUUCCGGGGGGCAUGCCUGUUCGAGCGUCAUUUGUACCCUCAAGCUCUGCUUGGUGUUGGGUGUUUGUCCCGUCUCCGCGCGUGGACUCGCCCCAAAGUGAUUGGCAGCCGGCGUACUGGUCCCGGAGCGCAGCACAUGUCGCGCAAACGAGUGCCUUGGUACGGCGGCGUCCAUAAGCCCCUCUCUCACGCUCUUGACCUCGGAUCAGGUAGGGAUACCCGCUGAACUUAAGC
RNAcentral lists this unclassified non-coding RNA (309 nucleotides) under plant metagenome. RNAcentral describes it as "partial contains 5.8S ribosomal RNA, internal transcribed spacer 2, and large subunit ribosomal RNA". The stretch from base 1 to 105 matches the Rfam family "5.8S ribosomal RNA", at positions 50 to 154 of the family's 154-position model. The record is from RNAcentral.